GCAUUGCACGAAAGAAGAAAAGCUUAGCCCGCCAAGGGAGAAGGCUGGAAGUGGUCCUGGGGGUCUUUAACGACCCCUACAAGGUUAAGGCACUUCCCCCUACUUCGUGGCAUCAGCGCUUAGAACAGUGU
Small nuclear RNA from Tachyglossus aculeatus (Australian echidna), 131 nucleotides. Lineage: Eukaryota; Metazoa; Chordata; Mammalia; Monotremata; Tachyglossidae. The record is from RefSeq and is a predicted model, not a curated record.